RNAcentral lists this long non-coding RNA (15322 nucleotides) under Ananas comosus (pineapple). Its description in RNAcentral is "long non-coding RNA (ACOM_LNC007768)". Lineage: Eukaryota; Viridiplantae; Streptophyta; Magnoliopsida; Poales; Bromeliaceae. The record is from RNAcentral.
UUUUUAUAUUUAAGUUGCUACGUGGCAAUAUUUAAGUGGUGGAUGUCUCCCACUUUGACCACCGUUUGUCCUAUCCAUGGUGGUGCCACGUGUCACGCGUCCAACUCACUUGCACAGUUGUACCGCCCCACCACCGACCCUCUCCGCACCAAUCUCCGCAGCUCACCCAACUCGAACAACUACCAAACCCAUCCGUUACCCGACGCUACGCGUACCCGAAGAUGCCCCUCGGGAACAACGUAACUUACCAUACUCCUUCCAAUAAAUACGCACCACCUCAUGAUGGCCACUAUUCCCUAGACCGGGUGUACUGGACUGGAGCAAUAGACCACCCAACACACUGAUUUCUUUUUACCUUAGAUAAGUUAAAAAUUAAACUGAUCUUACGUUGAUACGACUUGUAACUAUAAUGCGUAAAUAAAAUACCUGCUUAUAGAAGCAAUAAUAAUGUUAGGUCAAUUCAGAAUAAGUGUUGUAGUUUAGGAUUAUAUAUAUAUAUAUAUAUAUAUAUAUAUAUAUAUAUAUAUAUAUAUAUAUAUAGGACAUUUUAUAAAUUGAACUCUAUUUAAGAAAUACCUACGAUACAUUGGAAUACUUUUACAUGCAGUAAUUACUUCCUACAAUAAGUUGUAAACAUAUUACAACAAAAAGAACUCUUUCUUAAUUAAUUUGAAGGUGAAUGAUAUCUUUACUGUUUAUUUAUUUAACUAAAUAGACCACCGACAAUCAUCAACAAAGCUAGUGAUGAAUUUGUAAGAUAUUAAUUUAUGAGGCCAGCAAUUUGUACCCCAACUUGCAAGUUUAUAAUGAGGUGUUCAAGCUUCGAGCUCUACAGAAAAAAAAAAAAAACAAAAACAAAAAAGGAAAAAAUACGUAUAGGUUCCUACAAAUAUAAUGAAUUACAAAUAUAUUUCUAUAAAGUUCGACUUUUAUAUAUUGCUCUUACAGUCCUUAAAAAAAUUUAGUUAAUCAUAGGUUAAAUAUUUUACCUUGAUUAGUUAAUGAAGUGAAUUAACUUUUUACUCCUCUGUAAUUAACAGUGGAUAUAUUUGUAAUAGCAAAAAAAUUAUUUCACUUACAAAAUAAAUAAUAUUUUAACGAUAAUAAAUUAGAGGGACAUAUUUGAAAAUAUUAAGACUUUUAUAGGGACAAUAUAUGAAAAUUAAAAUUUAUAAGAAUAUGUUUGUAAUUUAAUAUAUUUGUAGGGACCUCUAUGAAAUUAAUCCAAAUAGUAGUUUUUAUGUUGGGGUUUCUUAGGGUAAAGCCUAAGAAACGUGGUAGUCGUGGACUAGACAGCGAUUUCAUGUGAGGGACAACGUACCGCCUGCGAGGAUCGCAUCAGCUUUUCCCCGCACUCAGCUCUCUUCUCGCUUUACUUUUCCCCUCCGCAUCCUCCUCCCCAGCAAUGGAACUCCACCUUCCGGAAAACGACUUCCGCCGCUCCCAUCUUCUUCUUCUUCUUCCUCGCCCAUGGACUCCGCGAGCAAGGACUACUGCCACCGCCACCGCCACCGCCACUGCCGAGGCGGCGCCACGCUCCUCCUCCGCCGCUGCGCCCUCCUCACCGUCGCGGCGCUCCUCGCCCUCGCCCUCGUCCUCGUCGUCCUCGCCCUCACCGUAUUCCGGCCCCGCCACGCCGUCACCACCGUCGACUACGUGCGCCUCGCGGGGCUCCGCAUCGCGCUCGACGUGCCCGACCUCGGCGUCGACCUCAACCUAACCCUAGACCUCGCAAUCACGGCCUACAACCCGAACCGCGUCGGGUUCCGGUACGGCGAGGGCGACGCCGAGCUCUACUACCGGGGCGCGCUCGUGGGCGCGGCGUCGAUCCCGGCCGGGGAGGUGGCGCCGCGCGGGAAGGUGCGCACGGACGUGGAGCUCACGCUGCUCGCGGGGCGACUCGCCGGGGACGCGGCGCUCUACGCGGACGUGGUCGCCGGGGAGGUGCCCUUCGCCACGGAGACGACGAUCCCCGGGAGGGUCACCGUGCUCGGGGUGCUCAAGCACCACAUGGUGACGUACACCGCGUGCGACAUCACCGUGUCCGUGCGGAAUCGGACGGUGGAGAACUCCAAUUGCAGGUACAGGACCAAAUUCUGAUCCUAGCUUAUUUGGGGUACAAUACUGUAUACGAAAUUUACAUAAAUAAAUAUAGAGAGAGAGAGAGAGAUGAGAUGUUUGAUGGAAUUCCCGCCUGUACCGUUUACAUGAUUUAUGGAGCUUCAUGGAACUCGAACUUGAAAAUCUCGACUCUCGAGUAAGUAGAACAAUAUAAUUUUUUUUAAAAAAAAUCUUAACUGAAAUAAGUUAGCUAUAGCUGUUAUCUUCUUUAUAUUCUUUAUGUUAAUCAUAUGGAGAGUGGAAUAGUUUAUCGCAAAGAGGAGGUCUAGUCCCUUCACUUUUGUUAGUGAGAUAAUUCAGGUGGAGAGAACUUCUUCCUUACUAGUUCAGCAUUUGAACUCGAAAUAUCUAUAGGUGAGAAUUAAUGAUCAUAAUAAUAUAUAUUAUGUUUAAUUCUUUGAUUCGUUGUGCGGUACUAGUUAAAUUGAUUGUGCGGUACUAGGCGAAUGGAAUUUCUUAUUCAUGUCACACAUUUCUCAUGCAAGUAUAUAUUUUGGCCAAUUGCGUCAUUAAGUAGACUCGUACACUUCCCUAAAACUCCUCCUGUGGAUGUACUGGUAUAAAGUUAUCAUGUGAAAGCUAAAACAACAUAGGAAAUUAACACAUGAAUAAUCAUAGACAACUCAUUGAAACGGAUGCAAAGAAGCAGGUCAUAGAACAAUAUUAUGAAUACCAGCCCUAUAGAAGAACAUCAGAGCAGUAGUAUCUGUUUAUCUUCUUCAAGAUCAAAAACUAACAUAGGAAAAAAAAUUUUGAGUUUGAUGGUUGAAAAUAGUCUUAAGCUAGAGGUAUGGACGUGUGCCGAAUAAGCCUUGGAAAAAAAUUUCACAAGCUUGAGUCUUUUAGAAACUUUUUCACUUCCCCACUCCCAAAAAUGCUCCGGCAAUAUUCUGGCAAACAAACAGGAGCAAUGCUGAAGAAAGAGGGUAUGAAGAACACUUAUCGUUCUCAAUGCUGCUUCUUAUCAGCGAAUGGUCCGCGCGGUAUCUUCUGAAGCACUUUCUCGUCCAGCACCUUGUAGUGCUUACUGAUUUCGACCAUCGCCUUCUCAGCUGCAGUAUCGACGUGAUCUUCGUAUUUUUCAUAGAAUACCGGCAGGGUAUAUGCGAUCACGAAAACUGCACAGGCAAACCAAUAAGAAUGUAUAUAUAAAAAAAAAAAUUGAAAAUGCCUCUACUUAAGACAAAAACUAGUGCUUAGUAUAGUCCAUAACAUAUAUAUGGUGUAUUUUAGCGUGUCAAUAACAUGCACAUAAUAUACAUUGAACUAGAAUACAUUCGGAAAAGCUGGUGCUUCCAUCUUUCAUGAAUCGCAUAUUCGCAUGCGUUUGAAAUCCACAUGGAUGCCCGACGGGCAUGCAUCUUUAUGUGCAUCAUACGGCCUUGGUGCAGGCCCAUGCAGAUCCCAGUGCGCAUCAAAAUAGCGAAAAAGAUUAACUACAGCUAUUACAGUGCUUUUAAAAGUAUUCUAGCUCAAAUCCAAGAUGAAUUAGUUGUUAGCUUAAAUCAAUGCGAGAAAGACUAUGAUGGGAACAUACUGAUAUAGAAAAGAGUCAAGAAACUGAACCAGCUGCCAACAACAGAAAUGACCCAGAGACCUGCAAUGACCUGCAUGAAAUUCUCUGUAAGACCACUGAAAUGAAAUUUGGUUUAAGAAAGUAAUAUUUUGAUACUUCACCAUCAAAAAUGUCUUCAAAUCCUUUCCAGAAGCUACGUAUCGGAAAGUUACGAAAGCUUCAUUAAUUUCAAAUCGUAUAGUUUGUGCUAUUUGUAGAAACAGGUCCUCAGGCAAAAUAACCUCUGGAAACUUAGGUGGAGACCUGAAUCAAUAAAAGAAUGUUUAUUCAAAAUAUAUAUUUAAGAAGAGAGACCGCUCUACAAUUAGUAAUGUUUUUGAGGUAUUAACUUGCCAAAGCUAUCAAAAAUAUAAAAAGUGAAAAUGUUGCAUUUAAUAUUUUAGCAAUAGUAUAUAGGAGGAAACUUGAAUGUUGAUUUAAGUACAGCUGGGGAAUGCAAAAUUCCUACAUAGGAUAAAACCAUACAGGAUAAGCAGUAAGUUCGGACUAGAAACAUUUUAAAGUUAUACAGGGAAACAAAAAAAACCUACAAAAGGCCAACUAGAUGGAACGAAAAUUUACUAAUUACAUCAAAUUAUAAUGACAAUGGACUGAUUCUGACGAACAGAUCAGGCAAGAUAAGUUUCAAAAUGAAAUGAAAAUUAUAUAAGCCUUAUAAAAUAAAGCUAGAAGACAGCUGCAAGGAAUUAAAUUCCAGACGAUGACAUUGAUUAAAAAGGUAAAGUAAGCAUAGGAUGCUAUCAUUUCUUUAGCAAGUCAUAAACUGAAAGAAUAAAAUCAAUUUACAAGUAUAAAGAUGCAGUUUUUGGAAAAUAAAAAAUAUAAAAACUAUCAAAAUGAUGCAAAAUAAGUCAUAUCUAAAUGACUACUAUAUAAAAAUGAAACCACGACUUCCAUUUGGUCCCAGUACAGUUCAAUGGUACAAGAUGUCCACAUUCUUAAUAGACUACGUAAUUUCAAUUACACCAAAUACUCGCUUCCUAUGUGCUGUAGCUUCUUAUAAAGGCACUUGGUUGAAAUCAUGCCUGUAUGUAUUUCUCCAAUAUCUUAUGAAUAUACAGAAACGGAUACGGUUUGAUUUUUUUUUGUUUUUUACUACCCAAUUAAAUCAAUAGCAAGUGAUUCACAAAAUUUUAUUUAUACCAAGCUCAAGCACUCAGUGAAUUCUCUUGGACCCAGAAUGAAAUGGGGUUCCAUUCGUUUUCCUUAUAAAAAAAAAAAAAAGAUGAACUGCCCUGAACCAAAGUCAAGGGUUUGUUUUGUUUAUCAAUUCAAAAGUCCUUUAUACACACCCUAUUGGAUAUGACACCUAAAUAGAAAUUAAGAAUGAAUCACACAGAUUCAAAUAACCAAGUUGAGCAAAUGUUGCCAUUGCAAAAUUAAAAGUGCAUAAUUGAGAAAGGUACUGCUAUCAUUAAUUCUAUAAACAUAAAUGAACAGUAUGUUACAGAGAUAGAAAAAUUUCGCAAACAUUCGACUGAGCAAAAGAAUGGCUAAGCAAUCAUAUGACGUAGAAGUGUAUGGGGCCUCACCUGUUUACAAAUGAUGCUGCAUUGGACCAAAUAAAAGAUAAAGCCAGCAAAGCUAUAACAGAGUGGCAUAUAAAAGUGAGUAGGUGAUAACCCAACCAUUCAAAGAGAAUCCAAAUAAUAGUUACUCCAGCAAGUAUGCUGCCUGAUGUCUUCUUAUCUCUCCACAAAAUAAUAUCAGCAUCUGAAAGCAUCAACAAAUAUCAGUAAGUUUUAGAGAGCCUUUAACUAAGAGAAGCCAAACAAACAUGGCAAAUGUUGGAGCAAAGAUGCUGACUCCCGGAUCUUACAAAAAACAAAACCAGGUUCUGGUUUGACACAGGUUUUGAUUGCUUUAUCUACCAGUCUCUUUUGACUUUUCGUAAAUAAAAGACAAAUGCUAAAGACUUUAAUUUAUAUGGAUAUAACUCAACAAAGCAAAAUGUGCAUACGAAGGAAAGAACAGUACAUAUGAUUAAAAAACAUGCACUAUUUAUAUCUGAUCUUCUAUUAAGUCAAAUAUCCUACACACCAAAAUCACCAGAUGAAACAAAUGAGAAGAAACUGAAAGAGGAAUAUUCAACAGCAUAAGCUGGAAAAUCAGAGACAAAUGUUUGCCCAAGCUAGUACAUAGCUACCAGAAAAUGUAGUAGUUAGUACAGUUAGAAACAAUCUAUGGUUAGAAAAGAAAGAGCUUACAGUCAUAACAAAAAUGCUUAUGUAAUGCAUUCUAUCAUUACCCCAAAAUGUUACAGGAGGGUGAGCUGUUAUUCCGUAAACUAAAUUGCUUCUAGACAAAUUUGAUCUAGACAUUAUUAAUGGUGAAGAUGUAAUACACCUUUAAAUGGCAAUUAUAAAGCAAAUUCCUGUUAUAAACUAAACAAUUAUCUUUAAUAACAUUCAUAACUGAGACCGAAAACACCUUCUAAAGUUCAUCAGUUUUACCUGAUCGUACUUCCUAAUUCUAUAUUGCAGGUUAAAAUUACUAAAAAUCGACCAUUGAAAACUUACAAUCCUCUAUUUAACCAACAAAAAUUUUAAAAAAAAAAUCUAAAUUUCUGCAACCUGACUCCAUCAAUCGUAAAGACAAUAUGAAUAGGUCACAAAUACAAAUAAUUGAUGAUGAACCUUCACAAGAUAUAAAUCGCCAGAUCGCUAUUUGCAUUGCCAUAAAACAAUCGAUCAUUAACAUAUCAGAUUAUGACAACAUUAUCUCAACUAAUUAUACACAAAACAAAUUUAACCGAAUUUUUGAUGAAAAUGUGUAUAUAUCAUUCUCAACAAAUAUAAUCAACAAUUAACAAAGGCAAUAAUCCUGGUAAAAGAAACCAUACAUUUCCCUCCUCCGAGAACUUUGUGCACCGAUUCCUUCCUCCCGAAGAGCCGUUUCUUCCUCGCAUUAUGCGAGGAGGGCCUCUCACUUUCGGAAUCCGAUGACGACGACGAUCCCUUGUACUCAUGAAUCAUCUCGUUGAUCUUCUCCGUCAUCGAGUUAUGCUCACCGAUCUCCGACAUUUUCCCCUAACCCUCUUCAAUAUUUUUUUAGAACAGAAUCAGCACAAACGAUUUAACAAAUUACGAAACCAAAAAAUCGCACGAAAUCGAUCGAGCGUUUAACACAUCAAAAGGCCGAUCGAAUCUACUACGAUCUCGAUCAACAAUGAAGCGCAUCAAAAUGCGAUAGGAUCGAAUUAGGGUUUCUUACCGAAGAAAGAGUCGUCUCUUACGUUUCCUUCUCCCUCUCUCUCUCUCUCUCUCUCUCUCUCCUCGACGCUCUUCACGCUCGAAACCGAAAAAUGGAAACGGGCGAACGAAGGGGAGGUAAAGGCGGGGGCCUUAAAUAGUCCGUGGCCGGGAGAAUCGGGCGGCUACGAAGUUUCCGUUACUCGAUCCAACGGUCAUUGUGGCUUCGCCGUUAAUGUCUAGUCACGGAGAGAUGACGCCGUUAGAUUCUGCGUCCGUUCUCACGUUGAAUGAACGGAGGGCCUCGGGGAACGGCUCGGUUCAAAUUUAAAUCACUCGGGACGAUUUAAUAGGCCGGUUCAGUUGGACCGGUCCGGUCCAACUCUAAUAGGGAAAAAAGGCCGGCCCAAUUCAUUUAUAGCAUGGUAAAAUUCGACGGAGACGCCUGAACUAUAGGAUAUUCUGAAAAAACCCCUCAGUUUAAGUCGAUUUUUUUUAAAAUUUUUUGGUUAAAUUUUAAGGCUCGAUCAACUGUUAAAAGUUACUUAGAAUUUAUUUUUUAGGAGAAAAGGUGCAUAGACAAGUUUUUUUUAAAAAAUAUUCAUUUUGUUAUCACAAAAGUUUUUGAAGUUUAUGCUGUUUGAUAGCAAUGAUUAAUUGUUCACUUAUGGUUGCAAGAAUUUUUCACCAUUUAGUAAUACAAAUUCACUUCACAUUAUAACUAAACCUCAUAAUAUAUUUUAAAACUUACAUGUACAACUUUACUUCAUAAUAUAUUUAUUGCUAUGUACUAAUGUACACCAUUUGGUUUUUAAAUAUUCAAUGUUAAAGAUAAACUGUUAAAUGCCUAUUAAGUUUAAAAUUGAUGUAUACAAAAGUAUUAUUAAUUCAAUAAUAUGUAUACAAAAUUGAUGUAUAUUAAAUUGAUGUAUACAAAAUUGAUGUAUAUAAUAGGUGCUUAGCAAUUGAAAGACUCAAAAAGUAUUAUUAAUUCUAAAGAAAACAAAUGUUGGAAAGAGAUUGGAAAAAAAAAAAAAGUUCCGAAAUCAAUAUUGAUCGAAUUGGAGUAUUCGUAGCUACUGUUUGAAUAGAACUAUUUAAACAAAAAAAAAAAAAAAAUAUGUCAGAACUAAAAAUUCUAGUUAUGAAGAUCAGAUGAGUAAAUUUUUUGCGAUUUAUAAAAGUGUUUUUUGGCGGAAGUUGGAGAAGAGUUGCAGUGAUUCGGUGCAAUACUUUGAGAGUUGAUUAUUAAAUUGAAAUUUACAUGUUAGAAGAAUUUAAUAUAAAUUUUGUUUUAAGUUUCUUUUAUUUAUAUCACUCUUUUUAAUUUUUUUGAUUUGAGUUAUUCGAACAAUGGUUGCUAAUAAAAUAGAUCAUAACUAAUUUAUCAAAAAACAAUUGUACUUUUUAAAAUUAGUAAUACAAUUAUACAAAUCAUUCAUUUUGUUCACCCCCAUUUCAAAGAUGUAAGCUUUUUUCCUACAUACUAAAUUCAAUUCUUCAUAUAGCACUUCAAAUUACAACACCCCCAAAUUAUUAAUUACAUAAUCAAAAAAAAAAAAAAACGCGUGCGCGCGCGCACACACUCUCCUCCCCAUUCCAUGAUAUUUCUAAAGCGAGAUCAUAUCUAUCAAAGUAGAAAGGAAAUGCAUCGUAUAUUAAUUGACCAAAACCGACAGUGGAUAUCAUGCGCCCUUCACAGAGAUGCCCUGCAUCAUGCACUUGAACUCGCCGAAAUUCACCCGUCCGUCAUGAUCCUGAUCGACGGAGCAGAUCAUCUCGCGAACCCUCGCAAGGCUCUUUGCCUCCGGCAACCCUAGCUUCCCGAGCACCACCUGGAGUUCGGCAGCGGAGAUGAACCCAUCCCCGUCCUCGUCGAAAACCCGAAACGCCUCCUUCAUGUCCUCCUCCUCUUGAUCAUCAGUGAUACAGAAGAGCUCCUCCUCCUGCUGAAUAUAAAAUACUAAAAUAUUAUUCUUUUAUUUUAUACAACAUCAGAACAAAAGAUAUUAAGUUCGCUCGUCAUCAACAAUAUACGAAAGCAAUAUAGUUUAAGACUAGUUUUUGAGUUUUCAGAGAUAAACGUUUGAUAUUGUGUGAUGCACGUUUUUUUUUUCUCUGAUCCACAAUUUUGUAAUAUUUGAGAGAAAAAAAAUAUUUGAAUUUUUUUUUCAAAAAGCAUGAAAGUACGUGGUUUUAAUCAGCACGGUGUGGCCUGAAGGUGGUGUUCAUUUGCUUCUUCAAAAAAAAAUUUUAUAAAAUAAUUUUCUAAUCAAAAAAUUUAUUUUUCGUCCAUUUAGAUUUUUUAAAAAUAAAUAUUCUGAAAAUAUUCCUUUUAGAUGCAUAAUAUUUUUCAAAAUUAACUUUUAGAAAAAUAAUUAUUUGUGAUUUUUUGAGAAAUAGAGAUGGAUUGUUGUGUCAUCGUUUAGCUCAUAUCGAUCACAGCGAGAGCGCUUUUUAAAAUUUUUGAAUUUUAUCUAAAAAAAAAAAAAAACACUUUCUCCUAGACAAGACCAAUAUAAAAUACUAUAUAAUUUAGGCUAAAUUACAGAUUUUUUUUUUUGUAGAAACUUUUUUUAUUUUUUCUUUCUAACUUCUAAAAAUGUAUAUUUUAUCUUUUUAAAAUUUUAGAAAUAUUUUUAGAAAAAUAUCGUAUUAAUGAAGAGGGCAAAAUAAUCAAAUUGACUUUACUUCUUUUAUAAAAAAUAAUAAUUUUUUAAUAUAUAUAGAUAUAUAUGUUAUUUUAAAAAAUAUUUUUGAUAUAAAUUAUACAAAAUGAACGUAAUAAUAAUAGAACACUAACGAGAGGAGCUAUAUGCAACAAUUGAAAAUAUUAAAGAAGUAAUAUAUAAUGAAAGAAUAGGUAUUUAUAAGAAGAUUUUUUGUAAUUUAUUAUUAGGUUAAUUUUCUACAGAUCUCCACAAAUAUAAUAAGUGACCAAUAUAUCCCUAUAAAAUUUAAUUUUCAUAUGUUGUCUCUACAAAAAUUAUGAUAUUUUCAAAUGAGUCCCUCUAAUUUGUUAUCAUUAGAGAAUCAUUAGAAAUUUGUUUAUAUUUUUAAUUUUGUUAUCACAAAUAUAUCUUUUCAAAAAUUAUAACAGUAUGAUAUAAGAGGAAACAAAAAUAUUAAAAAUUAAUUAUGAUUAGAUAUUUAAUCUAUAAUUAACUAAAUUUUUUAACCGAUUCUAAUGGCAGAAAUAUAUUUAAAAAUAUUAGAAUUUUUAUAAAGACAAUAUAUAAAAAUUAAACUUUAUAAUGAUAUAUUUGUUAUUCACUAUAUUUGUAGAGAUCUGUAUGAAAUUAAUCCAUUAUUAUUACUACUACGGCUGCGACGCACCUCGGUGGCGGGUGAAGGAGAGGGGGGGCCGGCGAAGAGCGCGUCGCCGAGGGCGCGGUGGAGGGCGUUGAAGUCGGGGAAGAGGAGGCCGGCGCGGCCGGGGGGUACGAAGGCGGCGACGGUGGCGGCGAGCUCUGCGCAGUCGGCGCCGAGGCCAAGGCGGUCGAGGGCGAGGGCGAUCUCGUCGACAGUGAUCUCGCCAUCGCCGUCGCUGUCGAAGAUGUCGAACACCCGCCGCAGCCGCACCGCAUUCAGGCUCUCGCUCCGCAGCCGGAACGACCGCGACGGGGCCGCCACCCCCCGCCUCACUCCCUCCGCCGCCUCCUCCGAUGCCGACGCCGCCACCGACGACGGUGAUAACAUUAAUGAUUCCAUUAAUAUUAAUUAAUUAUAAUUAAUAAUCCUAAUAUUAAUUAUUAAUUAAUUAAUAUUAAUAUUUGGAAUAAAAAGGAGGAAUUGGGGAGGAGAAUAAGGUGAGGGGGUUGGUGGGGGGCGGGGGGGGGGAGCGGAAUCAAAUGGGUGGUGGGGGGAUUCAUUUAUAGGAGGAGAGAGGAUAAGGGCAGGUGAAAAUUUACGAAGAACACCCUCAGCUACAGCAUAUUGUGAAAUGGGUGCUCAAAAUUUUUCCUCAAGAUUUGAUUUUAUUAAAUUUUAAAAUACAAGUAAAAUUAUCAAAAAUUUAAUAAGUUUUAAUUUAUGUCCUAAUUUUCGAAUAAAUAACAGCUAAAUGCGAUCUAAAUUAUUAAAACUGUUAAAAUUGAACGGUCCAUAUGUCAAAUAGACAAUAGUUGAGGGGUUUAUGUACAUUUUUUCACCGAGGCUCGGUCAGCUUGUUCGGAAGAGCGCGUGCGCCGGAAAUGGAGCCAAAAAUUUGGAGGGUUAUUAUUAUUAUUUUUUUUUUGGGGGGGGGUUUCUUGUGCCAUUGAUUUACCUAAAUUUAACUUAUUUACGUUAGAGAGUCUUGUUGUAACGUUUGUGGAAAAGUGCGUCAAGUUUUUAGUAUUUAUUUGAUAUGAAAAAAAAAAAUAGAACUUUAAAACAGAAAAAUAAGGAUGAUUUUUUCGUCCAUGAUCAGUUUAAGCUUUCCAAUUUAUCAAAAUAACUAAUAUUGCCUCAACAAAGAAAGAAACAUUAAUGAUCGAUCACAAAGCUCAAAAAAUCCGAAAAAAAGAGAGACAAAAGUAAAAUAAGCUCAUAUAUGGACAAGCAUUACGAUUGUUCUGAUUCUUACGUUGAGUUGAAUAUGAUUAUAAUAGUCGUGGUAAUUAAUAACAUAAAAUUAGCUACAGCUGGUACAUUAAUCUAUUGCUAAAAGCACUUUUCCUUAAUAUAUUGUCAAAAAGCACUUCCUCCUCAAUAAUAUGAGUUGUAGGAGGAUGUACAGAUAACAACAACUUGAGCUUUUAUUAGGGGAAGCAAAAAGAUUAAGGUGGGUGACAACUUUGGACUUUGUUUACCAUGUGUUGUAAUGCAAUUAUUAUAAAUCAUAAAUUAGAUAGUAGUGUCCAGAAACUUUAGAGUUACCAUUUGUUCGUAUCGCAGUUAUUUCUAUUUCCAGCUGCAAUUUUAUCUAAAAUAUUUAAUAAAUAAAAAAAUUUGAAUUCGUAAAUAGAAAAGGAUAAAAUAAGGGCAUUAUUCAGUUGACGCUUUAACAAAUGCCGGUGAAAUCGUGCGGCCAAUAAGUGAUUUUUUGGUGGCCGCUUUUUUUACCACAAUUUUAUAGUAUUGAAAAAAAAUAAAAAUAAAAAAAAACUUAAAAAAAAAUUACGCAUUCCAAAAUAUAAGAACAUGCAGUUUUUACAACGAAAAUUCCGAGUUAGCAAAAAGCAAAAGUGGGAUAAGAAUUACAGAACCUCUUUUCUCUCUCUCUCUCUCUCUCUCUCUCUCUCUCUCUCUCUCUCUCUCUCUCUCCAACUAUAUAUAUAUAUAUAUAUAGUACGUCUCCCGUACUUUCGAAAGUACGGAGGCCUCCAUACUUGUAAGCUGUUUUCGAUGAUAGGACAUCCGAUUCGACAAUCGGCUCCGUUAGGCAUAAUCUACGCUAUUGGAAUUAUCUAGAAAUCAAAUUUUAAAAUUUUUCGACAUCAUUUACCAAGCGAUCACACGGCCUCAAAAAUGACUAUUUUAACGAUCGAUGUGGCACGUUUUUAAGUUCAACGGUGUAGAAGUAUCCAAAUUAUAUGAAACUUCAAUAAAAAAUUCUAUUUAACAUCAAGAGUAAGAACUAUACUUCCGAUUUGAAAUUUGAGUCAUUUAUCACUGUUUUUUAUGAAAUUUUUAUUUUCAGCCGUUCAUUUUGAGGCUACUCGUUCACUAGGCAAACGAAGUCAAAAAAUUAUGAAAUUUGGUUACUAGAUUGUUCCAAUAGCGUAGAUCAUAUUUAACGGAACCGAUCGCCGAAUUGGAAGUCCCAUCAUCGAAAAUAACUUAUAAGUACAGAGGCCUCCAUACUUUCGAAAGCAUAGGAGCCUAGCUCUAUAUAUAUAUUAUAUAUAUAAAGAGAGAGAGAGAGAGAGAGAGAUGAGUUGGAACUCUAUCGGUAGCAAACAGGCUCCGUUGCCACCCAUUUGCUUUCGAUGAUAAAACUUUCAAAUUGACGAUCGGCACCGCUGAACAUGAUUUAUACUACUUGAAGUAUCUAGAAACCAAAUUUCAAAUCUUUUCGACAUCAUUCACCUAGUGAUCAAAGAGUUUCAAAAUUUGUAAUUUUAAUGAUAAAUAUGAAGUGUUUUCUCGUUUAACGGCAUAAAGCUAUCCAAAUCAAUUAAACUUUGGUUAGAAAAUUUUUUCAACUAUUUAGAGCAAGAUCUAUACUUUUGAUCUCGAGGAUAAAAUUCCUAUCAAACACUAUCCACCUACCACCAUCAUCUCAACCCUACAUCUCUCCAUCCAAUGGUGAAAAACUCAAAAGUUUGAAAGUAUUCUAGCUCAAUUUUCUAUAUAUAUAUAUAUAUGAAAUUUAUAAUUUAGAGACUUUUACUUAUUUAUCUCUAACUGCUAUUUAAAAUUUUUAAAUUUAUUCUCAAAUUACUAAAAACCUGUCUAAAUCCCAAAUUCCAUUUAUAAGCCCUUGGGGGUUUGGGGACAUUUGGUCAAUCAAGGUUAUAUUAGAUAUUCCUGGAAUUUUUAUAGGCAUAUUUGAUAUUAUUUUAAAUUUUAUAAUAUUGAAUCAAAUAUUUUUGCACAAUACAAAAGUAUUAAAUUUUCUUAAGAAAAUUUAUUUUAAUGUCGAAUUAAUAUAUUGUCGUUGAUUGAACUACUUUUCAAUCUUUUUUGACACAGUAUAAUUAACUAAUAUAGAAAACAGAAUAUAUCGAAUAUCUCUGGUAACCUAUAACUGCUAUCUAAGAAUUACAUCAUAUCCGUCUCUUUUUCUAAAGAAAGAUGGCAAGUUAUUCAAUUCAUAUAUUUUUUUAUUAGAGUUAAACUCAAAUAAAAUAUAUAAAAUAAUUAAAUUUCGUACUUAUUUCAAUCUCAGAUACUAAUUAUUAAAUUUUGACUAAAUUACAGAAAACCUCUCUAUACAAAUUCGUUGUUUCACUUUCUCUCUAUUACUUUUUAAAACCUACAUUUUGCCCUUUUAAAAUUUUAAAAAUAUUUUCAGGAGAUUACGAUGCUAAUGGAGAUAGCAAAAUGACCAAAUUACCAUUAUUUCUUCUAUAAAAAAAAUAUAUUUUUUUAAUAUAUUUUUAUCACUUUAAAAAAUAUUUUCGAUAUAAAUUAUAAAAAAAAUGAACGGAAUAAUAAUAGAACCCUGACGGAGGGGGUUAAAUACAACAACUUAAAAUUUUAAAAGAGCAAAAUAUAAAUUUUUAAAAGUAAAAAAAAAAAAGCAAAAAACGAAUAUUUAUAGAAAUUUUUUUUAUAAUUCAGUCUUAAAUUUUUAACUAAUUGUGCUAGAUCCAGUUGAGUCGGCGGUGACAUUCAAUCUCUAGAAGGCGAGAAAAUGUAUGUCACAUUCGAUUCGAUCUCUCGAAGGCGAGAAAAUGUAGUUUUGGGUCGCUUUUAAACUGGCCAGGAGACGGAGAAAGAAAAAAAAAAAAAAAAAAGUCAAAAAAAGGGACCAAAAUGAAGAAAAAAAAAUCAAAAAAAGGACCAAAAAGACAAAACCUGGGGGGGGUUGGGGGGGACGAGGUUCCGUACGUUGAAUGGACCAAAACCGAAACGCCGUGGUUUUAAAACGUCAACGCGCGGGGGCCGCGGAGUAGGCGCGGAUUCCCCGUCGACCGUUGGAAGUAGUUAGGGCUUGGAAGCGACCUCGAUCACUCGCCGUACUCUCCCGGCCGUUUCAUCCGAACCGUUCGAUUCCCCGCCCCACUUUUGACGAAUCCGAUUCCUCUUUGACCGUCCCCCCCUCCCCUUUGAUCUCCCAAUCAGAGCGUGCGCAUGUGCUGACGAAAUGGUAAAAGAUGUACCCAACCCAUAUGCACCAUAAAUUAUUGGGCCUUUUUUGUAUUUAGACCCCUCCAAAAAAAAUUUAUAUAUAUAGCCUCACAAAAUUUAUACUCACGGUGAAUAAUUCAUCGUAUUUCAGUAUUUUUUCUACGAUGGUAUUAUAUAAUAUUUAGAGUUUAAGAUUUAGCAAGGACACGAUAAAUCAUUCAUCAUGUUUUUAACUUAAUCUCCACCGCCAUCGACGCUCGCGUGACGCUCGCGUGGCGGGGAUAAAAUCAAUCGUGUUUCAGUAUUUUUCCUAAUGUGUAAUUUAUCCUUCGAAAUUUUAAUUUUACUAUCCAAUUUGAUUCGAAUCGAUCAACGACAUUUGACUUUAAAUUUUGAAUGUAUCGUUUAUUUUUACAGAUUUAGUUUAUAACUUUAUAUAUAAUUCUGACAACUAUAAUUUAUUAGAGUAAGAGAUUAAUCUAAAUUUUAAAGUUAAGAUAUUAUUAACUGACUUGAAUUAACAAAUUGAGAUAUUAAAUAGUCAACGCAAAAUGAUUUAUAAUUCAAAAAAAAUAUAAAAUUCCUUGGGGCUUAAUCCAGAUAGUUUUUGAAGAGUCCUCGGCAGCGAAGAAGAGUCAAUCCAGACGUCUCCAAUCGGCAUAACUGAAAAACACGGCUUGAAACAGGAAAAAAAAAAAAAAAAAUCAAGGGAAAG